This 934-nucleotide long non-coding RNA is filed under the name Nicotiana benthamiana. RNAcentral describes it as "long non-coding RNA (NBEN_LNC037683)". The record is from RNAcentral. Lineage: Eukaryota; Viridiplantae; Streptophyta; Magnoliopsida; Solanales; Solanaceae.
UCUGUAUUAAUUUCUGACCGCACGGAAUCUCCAUAGCCAAUUUUCCAUUUUUGAUAGAAGGUUCUUUCUUUGGUACUACUAUUAUUUUACACGAUCCAGGAACUUCCAUAACGUUGGCAUGAUUCGGUUUGAGCAACAGAUCCUGACGUGAGAUAUUUUCGUAAUGAAAAUAGAGUGGAAACAUGAGUUGAUCCAUAAUGAGUAUUAGAUUGAAGUUCUCUUAAAGAAGACCGCCAACUCCUAUCCCGAAGAUAGAAAGCGCCCGGUCCUCUUCUCUUGUGUCGAAGUGUAGUGUAGUGUGGUGAGGUUUUGCCUCACAGAAAGAGUGGGAGAAAAAAACGAAGAAUUUCGAAUCUAAGAGUGGAAACAUGAGUUGAUCCAUAAAGAGUAUUAGAUUGAAGUUCUCUUAAAGAAGACCGCCAACUCCUAUCCCGAAGAUAGAAAGUGCCCGGUCCUCUUCUCUUGUGUCGAAGUAUAGUGUAGUGUUGUGAGGUUUUGCCUCACAGAAAGAGUGGGAGAAAAAAACAAAGAAUUUCGAAUCUGAUUAAAUCUAAGUAUAUGCCUUGGAGGCAUUCAAUGGAAAAAUAAUAUUCAUCCAUCAGGGAAAAAAGGGACAAUGAAAUAACUUCGUCCAAAAAAUACAAAUCCCACCCUUGAAAUUCGGGAAAUGGUUGGACUAUAGCUAUUAUUUGUUCACAUAUAUUAUCAAAAAGAUCGUCGAAUGGAUCCGUAGUCUGCUCAAAACUCGGUAGCACGGGGAAAUCCGCUUGGGUGAAAAAGGCGGGUAAAUCUAGUUCAAUCGGUAAAUCUAUCUCAGGAGUAAGCUGCUCCGUUGUAGCCACUUCUGUACCUGUACCGGCUUGAGCAGCCUGCAACUUCGCGCAGCUGCUACGCCCUUGCUUCUUGCCCCUUAUUUCAAACUCAAGGAAAGCCU